Molecule: long non-coding RNA, 727 nt
Organism: Zerene cesonia (dogface butterfly)
Lineage: Eukaryota; Metazoa; Arthropoda; Insecta; Lepidoptera; Pieridae
Exons: 3
Source: RefSeq, a predicted model, not a curated record
UGUCAUUAAAGAAUUUAUCAGAUUAUUGUCAAACUAAAAACAUAUUGCACACACCCAAUGUUAGAAUAAACGUAACAAAAACAUUUUUUAAUGAGAGAGUGUUUUAUUAGUAAUGAAAUAAUUAUUUUUAACGCAAUAUUGCCCGAAUGCUUAUGGAUUUUUCACCAUGAGUUCUUGUUCGUGUGUUGGAAUACAAAAGAAUUCUUGUAGCUGUGCUAUCUUCAGCAAUAUAUUAUGUGCACGCGAUUCAAAAAGUUCUAAUUAUAUUUUUGUAUCGAAUAAACAAAAUCUAGACUAUGCAUAUGAAAGGAAAAAGCCGGGUAUAUUUCAUAAGAUUUUACGAGAUGUGUAUGAUAUGUGUGUCGCCUACAACAUAAGACACUGUGGAUAUAUAGCUGGGAACGGAAGAGAUAGGAAUAUUAAACAUGCACUUUUGGAUUGUAUUCUGCUCUUGUGUUUCCUUGUCGCCAAUACUGUGGUUUUUCUAACACUACUUACAAGAACUGUCUGUCACAUGUCUAGCAUUAUAUUUAAUUUAUUUACCUGGAUACAAAGAACUCUCUCUAAAAAUCUCAAAAUAUACCUAAACAAUGAAUACUCUGAAAAAGAAAAAGCUUGGAUGUCAUCUAUGGAUUCUCAAAAAAUGAAAUAGUACAGGAAAGAGAAGAAACAUGGAAAUUCAUAGCUAGUUGAUGUUCGACUUUGUAUAAUAAAAUUAUUUUUAUUU